GAAAGCGUUGCCGCAGGCAACGACCCGAAGGGCGAAACGCGCAGCGCUGAGUCAUCCUUCCCCCACCACCA
Molecule: small RNA, 71 nt
Filed under: Salmonella enterica
Lineage: Bacteria; Pseudomonadati; Pseudomonadota; Gammaproteobacteria; Enterobacterales; Enterobacteriaceae
Also listed under: 1 other name
Description: partial RtT sRNA
Rfam family: RtT RNA
About the family: This family represents a bacterial cis-regulatory element known as RtT RNA. The exact function of RtT is unknown although it is thought that it may be involved in changing the cellular response in relation to amino acid starvation.
Source: RNAcentral